GAUGAAGAACGUAGCGAAAUGCGAUAAGUAAUGUGAAUUGCAGAAUUCAGUGAAUCAUCGAAUCUUUGAACGCACAUUGCGCCCGCCAGUAUUCUGGCGGGCAUGCCUGUUCGAGCGUCAUUUCAAACCUCAAGCCCCCGGGCUUGGUGUUGGGGAUCGGCGUGCCCUCGCGGCGCGCCGUCCCCUAAAUCUAGUGGCGGUCUCGCUGUAGCUUCCUCUGCGUAGUAGCAACACUCGCACUGGAUCGCAGCGCGGCCACGCCGUUAAACCCCCCACUUCUGAAAGUUUGACCUCGGAUCAGGUAGGAAUACCCGCUGAACUUAAGCAUAUCAAUAAGCGGAGGA
Molecule: unclassified non-coding RNA, 344 nt
Filed under: soil metagenome
Description: partial contains 5.8S ribosomal RNA, internal transcribed spacer 2, and large subunit ribosomal RNA
Rfam family: 5.8S ribosomal RNA (bases 1-120)
Source: RNAcentral